Molecule: non-coding RNA, 2883 nt
Organism: Osmia lignaria (orchard mason bee)
Lineage: Eukaryota; Metazoa; Arthropoda; Insecta; Hymenoptera; Megachilidae
Source: RefSeq, a predicted model, not a curated record
GGGGGGAAAGUAUUCACACGCGAUGCGUAGCUCGACGAGAACGCUUGCGCGCGAAUCUAACACGUGGCGAAGGAACGAGCUUUUCUACGAGCGUUUGUUGAGAAGUACAGUCUUCGGUGCUUUCGCUGUCGGAACACUUCCUCGCGAUCGCUUCCUUCUAAUUCAUUUUUUUCUAUUAAAAUAACCGGAUUGAUAGAAAAAGAAACUGCUCUAAAAUCUCCGUCCAUGGUCACGACGGGUGAAAAUUUUCGGUGAGAUAUCGUUCGUAAAGGCGAUGACUACGAUACGAAGAAAGAUGACAGCAGAGACGAGAACGAUCGAAAGGAUUUCGAAAUAAUUGAAAUUAGGACGAUUCGAAUAAUUAUUAGAUAAAGAUUUGAAAAUCAGGAUGAGCAAGGAAGGGGGCAACCAGGACUCUCCUCAGGGAGGCGAUGCUUCGAAGAAAGACUCGAACGCGGACCUUUACGAAAAUCGAGGGACGAAGAAAAUCAUACGUUUAGUUACCGUGAUGGCUUACAUGUUCUCCGUAAGUUUCGUCGCCAUAGUUUUGAGCGCUUAUUACUUGUUCCUAUGGGAACCGCCGAAUCCAAAACUCAUACGGCGACCGGUUCAUCUAUCGUCUGAACCCGAAAUACAGUUUCUACUCGCCGAUGAACCGAAUUUGCCAAACGACGUCUCGAUGAACGAUUUUCUUUCAGUGAUGGGAACCGAACAGAAAGGAUCGAACAGCACCCGGAAAUCGUUCGGCGGUCGCAUCGUCGAUGAUCAUUACAGCGGAAAGAAACAUCGGAGAACGUUGAACGAAUCAUUGGCGCUAUUGAGAAACUCUUUGGUAGAAUUUAUGCGAAACAGGAUCAACAACAACGAUUCAAAGUUUCACGAUGUUUUAGCAGGGAAAGAAAGACGGUUGAAUUCGACGAAGACGGAAUUUGGGACAAGAUCGAAGGACGUUAAGAAUGAAACAGACUUAUCAAAAAUGAUCGAUCGUACGUUCAAAAAUAAUGCCACAUUCCUGACACUGAAUUCUUCCGCUAUUUCCGAAGAUGAAGUGAAUAACGAACGUUUUACGAGUACCAGAAACAGAUCCGUGUUCAAAACAGUGUUGUACACGACGGAAGACACAAUUGUCGGUUCGAAAAGUUUCGGCAAGGAAAAUUCUUCUGAAAGUUUGUCGAAAGUUAAGGAAUUUGCAAACUCGAAUGAAGGAUUCGAUACGGUUUUAUCGAUGAAAGAGAAAUAUCGUCGACGAUCGAGAGGAUCGUCGGGAAAAUUGGCGAACGUUGCGACCGACUUGAAAGAUACACGGAACUUUCAUAGAACCAUGUUUGCCUGAGAAAUGAUCGAAGAAUGACGUCUUAAUGGUAUUAAAAUAAAGGCGCGGCUUCUCUGUAAAACGAGUAGAUCAUCAAGCUCGAAGCAAAAGCUCCGUAGGACUUUGUCAAACGUUCCCAAUCGAAAUCGUUACCGAUCCCUUACGAAACAAUGACAUAUCCUGUUUAAAAUGACACGUACGAGCAUCGCUUCCUAAGCUGAAGAAGCUCCAACUUACGUAAACUACUUGCGCAACAUUUUUAAUCGUAUCUCUGUCACUCAACCAGGAGCACUUCACUAAAUUUCACUAUUUCUAUGGAAAUGUAAUGGUCCCCGAAACAAGACUCGUUUUUCUACUUUCUUUUCGUCCCCGUAUUUUCCUUAAUGCAAUCGAAUAACGAAUACAGGACCGAAAGGAUGGAUUUCGAAUAUCCUUCGAUUUCUUGGGGGGAGGGGGGCAGAAAGUUUGAAUUAUAAAGGUAGAUCGAUUUAAGGACUCGUUUAAUUGACGGUGAAUCCUGUCGAAUCAAGCUGAGCCCUUGAAGCUUGCGAAACGAAGCACCGAGUCAAGGUUCUCAGGCUUGCGCAGUGAAAAGCUCGCCGGUAUCACAAGCUAGAUGGGUGUGUUUUUUAGCAGCUGUAUCGGUGAGAAGCGUUGAUCCAUUCGUCAACAGACUAAAAUAGUUGUAGAACAGUGAAAAGAGCGAAUCGAACGGAUAGCCUGUGCGCGAUUCCGAGCCCUGGAUAAUCCUAUCCUUGGCGAAUAAUUUUCGUCGCGUUAGGUUUUCGGUAUCUAUACCUGUGGAAACGGCCUGUCGGUAAAUCAGUUUCGAUUGUUCAACUAGGAAAAUUCAGGAAGCAUCGAAUUUCAACGAAGAAAAAGUAAGAGAAAUUUCAACGUUGUCCGUUUGACGGAGAAAAAUAUCUUAUUCGAGAAGGUGGUGUUUGGCAGUAAGGUACGUGUUCGAGCUGCAACGCUACGCUUGCAGUAAUAAACUCCCAGAGCUUACAGAUCGUUCAUAAAUGUAAACAAUCGUUUAAGUUAUAAAUAACACGGGCGAGAUUGUAAGGGAAGGGAACAAUGAUUCCGUCGAUAUUCUCCUUGAAAUCGAUCGUAUUCGCAGUUGGUGUUGAAAAUAAUGAAAACGCGACGAGUUUCUUGAUUACUUAACGAAAGCUGGCGUUGUAAUAUCGUUGUUCAGAGGAAGAGCUGGAUCGGAAUCAUCGGAGGAGCGAGUGAUAGGUGUGACUCGUUGUAGAGGAAUAUACCGAGGAUGCAGUUGCCGCGAAAAAUGAGCGCCCAAAACGUGAUGGCGAGCAUUAGUCGGACGCUGGGUAAUCGGGAACAUAAGGCGGCAGGAAACGAAAUUCGUUUCGCCGGUGACGAGAGGAAAGACAAAUUGUACGAGCCGAAACACCAGCAAAAAUUGAAACGCAAAUAGAAAAGAUGACGAUAAAAUCAACGACAGUGGGAGAAGAAGAAACCGAUUCACCGGAAAUCCUAACUACUCAGCGAGAAAAAGAACUGUCGCCGAUUUUAACAGAGAUCAAUGGGACAUUUUUCAAUAUAUU